Molecule: long non-coding RNA, 898 nt
Organism: Cyprinus carpio (common carp)
Lineage: Eukaryota; Metazoa; Chordata; Actinopteri; Cypriniformes; Cyprinidae
Exons: 3
Source: RefSeq, a predicted model, not a curated record
GUUUUUUUCAGGGUUGGAGCUAAACUCUGCAGGACCGACGUUGCCCACCCCUGCUCUAUAGAGUGAUAGUCAGUGUAAAAAGAGUGAAGGGAGAAGCAGAUGAACACAAACAGCAGAACAACAUAAAGUUAAAGAGGUGCAGGAAAAGCAGUGUGUCCCAGCAGUCAUGUGAUAUCCCACAAUGCACCUCAGAAAUGGCCCGCUAAAGUCGAGCUGGCCCCUUGUGAUUUCAGCACUCAAUCGUUCACAGUGGAACUGCAUAAACUACUGCAGCCAUAAAGAACGAUUUCAUGCAGCCGAGUUAAGACAACCUCUGCUGUGAUGCUGUGUCCGGCGGGCUGAGCGGACAGUCAUUGGCAGACUUGGCAUUAGCAUAUACAGUAAUAUUAGGGGCCCGGAGACGCCCCAAGCGUAGCCCGAGGUGGAUUCAGCUGGCGUCCGUACCGAGGGGACCAGAUCCUAUCAUCAGGAACAGACAUGUGGGGCAUUUCCUGCAGUCCCGAGGAUGGACAUGUGCCGAGAAAAACCCUUGAAAAUGAAGAUGGACGCGGGUCUGACAGUAACAGGUUGACUAGUGGUGUCUUCAGAUGUUGGAAAUGUAGAGUUCAGCCAAAAAUGAACUCACCUGUUGUUUUUAACCUGUAUGUUUGGUUUUUGUUUUUUGUUUGGUAGAACACAAAAUAAGACAUUUCUGUGCAGUUUUUUCAUAUAAUGGACUGUGCAAUCAAAUCUUGUUCAAAGUGGUGCGGCGCAUUCACUCGAGAACCAAUGACGUCAAACUUCAUGCAAUGCUUCAAUAAUAAUAUAUAUGUAGCUAUAUGUUGUAAUUUUACAUAAAUUUUAGAAGCUUAAAACUGUCGCACUAUUAUUAUUAUUAUUAUUACGGAUGUAAUCAAAA